AGUGAACGCUGGCGGUAGGCCUAACACAUGCAAGUCGAACGGCAGCACAGUAAGAGCUUGCUCUUACGGGUGGCGAGUGGCGGACGGGUGAGGAAUACAUCGGAAUCUACUUUUUCGUGGGGGAUAACGUAGUGAAACUUACGCUAAUACCGCAUACGACCUACGGGUGGAAGCAGGGGAUCUUCGGACCAUGCGCGAUUGAAUGAGCCGAUGUCGGAUUAGCUAGUUGGCGGGGUAAAGGCCCACCAAGGCGACGAUCCGUAGCUGGUCUGAGAGGAUGAGCAGCCACACUGGAACUGAGACACGGUCCAGACUCCUACGGGAGGCAGCAGUGGGGAAUAUUGGACAAUGGGCGCAAGCCUGAUCCAGCCAUACCGCGUGGGUGAAGAAGGCCUUCGGGUUGUAAAGCCCUUUUGUUGGGAAAGAAAAGCAGCAGGUUAAUACCCCGCUGUUCUGACGGUACCCAAAGAAUAAGCACCGGCUAACUUCGUG
This 492-nucleotide ribosomal RNA is filed under the name uncultured bacterium. RNAcentral describes it as "partial 16S ribosomal RNA". It matches the Rfam family "Bacterial small subunit ribosomal RNA", at positions 29 to 507 of the family's 1533-position model. The record is from RNAcentral.